UACGAAGGGAGCUAGCGUUGUUCGGAAUCACUGGGCGUAAAGCGCACGUAGGCGGACUUGUCAGUCAGGGGUGAAAUCCCGGGGCUCAACCUCGGAACUGCCUUUGAUACUGGGUAUCUCGAGUAUGGAAGAGGUGAGUGGAAUUCCGAGUGUAGAGGUGAAAUUCGUAGAUAUUCGGAGGAACACCAGUGGCGAAGGCGGCUCACUGGUCCAUUACUGACGCUGAGGUGCGAAAGCGUGGGGAGCAAACAGG
Molecule: ribosomal RNA, 253 nt
Filed under: uncultured bacterium
Lineage: Bacteria
Description: partial 16S ribosomal RNA
Rfam family: Bacterial small subunit ribosomal RNA
Source: RNAcentral